Molecule: long non-coding RNA, 4296 nt
Filed under: Linum usitatissimum (flax)
Lineage: Eukaryota; Viridiplantae; Streptophyta; Magnoliopsida; Malpighiales; Linaceae
Description: long non-coding RNA (LUSI_LNC005689)
Source: RNAcentral
GAUAAACAAAAAGCAUGAGCUGAAUCAGCAGGAAGUUUGAAGAAAUUAAUACGAGCUCUGAAUCAUGGGAGAAAUAGAAAACCUGAAGGUCCUGAGAGAAGGUAGCUGGAGGAAGAAGACCUCUCAGGUAAUGAGCAUCCCUCUCUUUGUCAGUGAAUGCAGUCCCUUUGUUAUGCCUUGGAUCCCUCAUCAAAUUGUACCCACUGCCAAAAGCCACAAAAGCUGAAUCAAUCAGGCAGCUAAUUGCCAAAGGGAUCCCAACUUCCUAUUCCUCAAAAUGACAAUUCAGAUGAAUGAAAUAUAAUAAUAAGGAAAACGACAAAUACAGAAUUGCGGCGAAAGGGAACCGAUUAAUAAACUAUAAAGUUAGUAUUAGUAGUGUAGUAGCAGAACUUGGUGGCUGAUCAGAUUACCUAGCAAUAGAGACGGCCCAAGGGGUGAGAAACUGCUCCUCCGUUGCAUGAUCCUCACCGUAGACGUCCUCAACGCCUCCACCCUCGACGCCAUUAACGAUCUUCUCCGUCGAAUCAUGACCUUCAUUCACGGAAGUCAUACUUCUGUGGAACAACAAACCACAAGCUGGCUCUCUCUCCCUGAAUCUACUACCGACGACGACAACAACCCGUCUCUGCAAAGCAAGUAAACAGACAAACAAGUUGGAGAGGAGGGGUCCUUUGGUGAAGCUUGAAAGAAAACCCCAGAAACCAGCUCCCAAUUUUAAAGGAAGUUGGGCGGAAAUGAAAUGAAAUUCGAAACGUCAAAUUUCAGACAGUUACAAUGUGGGUAAUUUGAAAUUCCCCUCCCCAGUUGUGAAAUGAAAUGGGUAUUGAGUUUGGUUGAAAAGGGAAACCAGAGAUGAAAAUGUUGAAGUUAUGUUGAAGUCGUCAAAGUUUUACCAGAAUGAAUGAAUGGGGAAAUGAAGGAUUGAAUUUAAAGAAAGAAAGAAUCCAUGAAAGUGGGUGAGUUGGUACCAGAAAAGUAAAAGGACUACUGCGUGGUGAAAUCAUGGGAUGGGAUGCGAUUUCUGCCGCCGAGAACGUGGAAGAGAGUGUGAGUCAGCAGCGAAAGCCAGCUGAGCUGAGAGAGAGAUGAAAAAUAGGGAAGAUAGUUGGGGAUAUUGGGGGGAAUUGAAUUCUCUUUUUCUUCUUUUUAGAUUUGUAAACGCGUUGUUGAAGAUACGGGUUGGGUGCGAACCUUGAAAUCAAAGGCAAGAAAGAAUUUGUUGGGACCUGGGGGGUUGUAGAUGCAGCAUAUUUGUUCACAUUUGGAUAAAAGUUCAACACCCUCGAAUGUUGGUCAGUCCUUCUUCCCUAUACUUCUACCUAGCCAAAUCUUCUUCUUUUUUGUGACAUGCAGUAGCCUAGCUUAAGAGGGAUUACAGCCAGUCCGGCCGGCGCUAUCUGAUGCCUUAUCAGCAACCUUUGCAGCAAUGUUUGCCGAUAUUUUCCUGAUGUUUGUAAAUGGUGGGUAUAUCAGUCCCUUCUCGUAAUGCUCCUCUUCUACCUGGGCAGCCAAUGCUUCCGCUGUUUCCAAUCCCAAACCAUGUUAAACCCGUAACCAUGGCUACUCUCAUAGCAUAGAUUGCUCUAAUAGCAAGAAUCGACGUGGUAAAUUAACAAUUAAACAUGUAUGAACUCACAGGCUGCCAAGAGCAAGUCAUCAUGCACACGAAUCGCCCCUGACAUUAUCAGCCCGAGACCAAAUCCUGGGAAUAUGUAAGCAUUGUUUGCCUGUCCUGGCAUCAUUACUUUUCCUUUGUGCUCAACUGGGUCAAAUGGACUUCCACUCGCAAAGAUAGCACGACCCUGCAUUCAAGAACACAAAUUCACCCUACUCCAUUUCUUACCCUUUACGACAUAAAAAGCUCUGCGAUUCUCGUACCUGGCUCCAUGUGUAAGCUUCCUCAGCUGUGCAUUCUGAUUGAGAAGUGGGAUUUGAUAGUGCAAGAAUCAGGGGUUUCUACAUUGCAUCAUUUCAUAUGUUUUAUCUUUCAUGUCAGGACAGAAGCUCUCAUUCCAAAAAAAAACAGAAACAAAAGGGAGGACAGGAAAAUAACCUCGUUGAAGGAGGCCAUUGCUUCAACAACCUCCUUUGUGAAUGUUUUCCCAGCUCCAGAUGAUCCUAUCAGGACAGUUGGCUUGAUUGCCUGAAAUCACCAGUUGUAGCUCAAGAAUGAACAAAAAUUUCAGGCAGCAAAGAAAAUAAGUUGCCAUGGACUUCCACAAAGAGGGUCAAAACUUCACUAAUUUCCAUACCUUAACAGCAUCCAGGAGAUUCUUAACAGGUUCGUGGCCAUGAGCCCAGGGCUUCUUGAAAUGCUGAAGGGACUCCUUGCGAGAACUGACGAUGAGCCCCUUCGAGUCCACCAGCCAAAUCUUCUUCCUCGUCUCUUCUACGGGAGCUUUGAUCUACAACAACAACAUGAGAAUGUAAGUUCAAAGUUGGAUCAUCAAAGGAAUUGAACUUAAUAAAGCAGAUUCAACAAACAAAAGAAGAAGGCAAUUUCACCUGCUUGGAAAUCUCCAGAGCGAUAAGCUCAGCUAUGCCAGUACCGGCCUGCAAAAUAAAAACCACAAACAUUUUAGAGUAAGAAAGAAAAACAAGAAACUAUUUCUUCUUAGACAUAUAUUCAGCAAACACCUCGCCAGCUCCCAGGAAGAGGAACGUAUGAUCUGCUAAGGUUCCUCCAACUAACUUAAGAGCUGCAAGAAGCCCUGCCAGGACUACAGAUGCUGUUCCCUGCAAAACAUGAUAAGAAACCAAAGAUCAGAAAGCUUCCAACUUCCGAACACCAAACUGCCACAAAGGUAAAAAGGAAUUUACCUGUAUAUCAUCAUUGAAAACAAGAUGGCUUUGCCUGUACCUUUCCAGGAGGUCAAAUGCAUUAUGAUUUGCAAAGUCUUCAAACUGAAAAGAGUUUGUACAAUACUCAGCCAGGGCACAGAGCAAGCAUAAUAGUAGAAGCAUGAUAAUUAAAAUGUCUUACCUGUAUCAACACUUUCUCCCCAUAAUUUUGCUUAACUGCACUCAUGAACUCUUCCAGAAGUUCAGCAUACUCCUAAAUCAUAUAGGAAAAUCCCAAAUGUGUCAAUAAGCUGAAAACAGUUGCAAUGAGGCCAAAAGAAAUAAACAAGUCUUUUCAAAACCUGUCCUGUUGCCCUCCUUUGUUUAAGUCCGAUGUAGAACUCAUCAUUCAACAGAUUUUCAUUAUUUGUACCAACGUCAAUCGUAAUUGGCAGGCACUGCAUAAUUUUUGUUACAAGAACAAGAUUCAUCAGUCAAAAAAAAUUACCAAGUAAUUUUCAGUUGUCCACCGACAGAAUUUAGCUUACUGCUGAUGGACGGAUCCCUCCUAGUGCUGUGUACAAAGAAAGCUUCCCCACAGGGAUUCCCAUUCCCUGAAAUAUGGCAUAUACGACCAAUUAGAUCAGGUGAUGCAGAAGCUUAGAACGCUAAAAGUUGAUGGAUUCUUGCAACCAUUUUUACCUGGCAGCCAAGAUCUCCAAGCCCAAGAAUUCGCUCCCCAUCCGUAACAACAAUUACUUGAAUAUUUCUCUCUGGCCAGUUCUUCAACACUUCAAGAAUCUUUCCCUUCUCUUUCAAACUGAUGUAUAGGCCCUGGGGACGCCUGAAAAUGCUGCCAUAUUUUUGGCAAGCCUCCCCAACUGUGGGAGUAUACACAACUGGCAGAAGUUCUUCAACAUUAUCAAUUAGGAGCUUGUAGAAUAGCCUUUCAUUCCUCUCCUGCACGCCAAAUAAAGGUAUCUCUCGUUUAACAGAAAAUUACUCCAAAAAGUUAAAAAAGAAGACGAGAUAUCAGAAGCACCUGAAGAUCCAUCAUAGCCAUGUAUCUUUGGAGAGGAACCUCAAACUGGCGAAGGUUAUGCAUCAACCUUUUCACCUGAUAAACAAAAAGCAUGAGCUGAAUCAGCAGGAAGUUUGAAGAAAUUAAUACGAGCUCUGAAUCAUGGGAGAAAUAGAAAACCUGAAGGUCCUGAGAGAAGGUAGCUGGAGGAAGAAGACCUCUCAGGUAAUGAGCAUCCCUCUCUUUGUCAGUGAAUGCAGUCCCUUUGUUAUGCCUUGGAUCCCUCAUCAAAUUGUACCCACUGCCAAAAGCCACAAAAGCUGAAUCAAUCAGGCAGCUAAUUGCCAAAGGGAUCCCAACUUCCUAUUCCUCAAAAUGACAAUUCAGAUGAAUGAAAUAUAAUAAUAAGGAAAACGACAAAUACAGAAUUGCGGCGAAAGGGAACCGAUUAAUAAACUAUAAAGUUAGUAUUAGUAGUGUAGUAGCAGAAC